Molecule: ribosomal RNA, 253 nt
Filed under: uncultured bacterium
Lineage: Bacteria
Description: partial 16S ribosomal RNA
Rfam family: Bacterial small subunit ribosomal RNA
Source: RNAcentral
UACAGAGGGUGCAAGCGUUAAUCGGAAUUACUGGGCGUAAAGCGCGCGUAGGCGGCCUUGUAAGUCCGUUGUGAAAGUCAAAGGCUCAACCUUUGAAAGCCGAUGGAUACUGCAGGGCUAGAGUCCGGAAGAGGCGAGUGGAAUUCCUGGUGUAGCGGUGGAAUGCGCAGAUAUCAGGAGGAACACCAAUAGCGAAGGCAGCUCGCUGGGACGGUACUGACGCUAAGGCGCGAAAGCGUGGGGAGCGAACAGG